Lytechinus pictus (painted urchin) is the source of this 2780-nucleotide RNA transcript. RefSeq lists it as uncharacterized. The record is from RefSeq and is a predicted model, not a curated record. The transcript has 4 exons. NCBI's taxonomy places the organism in Eukaryota, Metazoa, Echinodermata, Echinoidea, Temnopleuroida, Toxopneustidae.
GGGUGACGUGCGCUCCACCACAACGCGACGGGCUCGCGAAUACAAGCCCUAUUCUUACCCAACGAACCGUGUCGAAAACUUGGGUUGUCUGCGAGAAAAAACGAUUGACUCACGGAUGUUUUGUCAAGAAAGAUUUUUGAUGGAUUAAAAUCAACUUCAGGACGUCAUUCGAAAAGUAAUCACAGUUCGAUCUGGGAUAUCCACGCCGUUUUUUCACGUUUUCGAGCUCUUUCAUCAUUCGCCAGCCGCUUAUUCACAUUCGGUCAGCCACCCUGGCCUGAGCAAUCUCAUCGAGUUAACGCUAGCUGCUUGCUCUGGAUGUGAUAAUUGUGGAAUAUAUAUACACUUCUCGAAGUUAGAACUAAUAUCAUUACUAUGAUGAAAUCUGAUUGCUGAUAUUCAUACUUGGACAAUAUGGGGUGCACGGAAUCUAUCAUUUCGGAGAUUGUUGCAAAAUCGAAUGUUAACGCGCAGAAAGGCAACAUAAACCAAGCAAAAGUUCAACCGGCUCCACUUCUUGGUCGUGAUGAAGCAAGAGAUAGAAGACGGAAAGCUCUUAUGGAGAGACAUGCUAAGAAACAGGCCAUGGCACAGACAAUAUCUGACAAUGCGAUGGCAGAGAAAGAGCGUUUAUCAAAUAGUACCUGGAUGUCAUGGAGGUCAGGGGUCAAUAGUGACGUCAUCUCACCCGCUGUCUCCAUCUCUGUCCGAGGAUCAGAUGGUAAGUAACGCGGUUUUUCUGAUAUGUUUGUGUUUCUCCUUCAAACAAAUGUUAUUUGGUACUUUUAUUUGUUGAAAUGUAUUUAUUUCAACUGUUUUUAAAAUUCUCACCCUCCUCACAUUCUUGAUUCCUAUGUGGGAUUAUGUUCUUGGUAAACACUUAUUUUUUUAUCCUUGGAUAUUCGACGAAUUGUAAUAGCAUGGUCCAUGACUACACCCUCUUUAUUGAACAUAUUAUUCAUAAAAGGAAAACGUGUUUUUUUUUCAAUGGUGUGUCAUUUAAUUGCUACUCAUGCAAGGUGCCUAUACUUAUGCUAUCCUGAACCGAAUGUCUUCUAAUUUAUUUUCUUAUCCGCCACCAAAGGUUACACUUAAAAGAAAUAUAAGAAUAUGUGCAUGAACAUGAAGAUAUCAUUCCCUAUUCAUCCCAAACAUGAUACUCUUCUCAUCAUUACGUACUGACCUGUCUGGGGAAGGCCGAUUUAAAUGAUGUGGUAGUAUAGUGGAAACAAUAUCAAUGCUAGCAUGAAUAUGGUGACGAACAGUUUCAUUACUUGAUUAUAAUACCAUUAAAACCACCCAAUUCUACUGUAGGGCUCACGGGUGAGUGAUAAAUUAAACCAUGAACAAGUUGCCGAGCGUGAGUAGUAGCCAUGCACACUCAAUCAUAUCGGUUUUAUGGAAAUAAAGGAAAUAUGGUCAUCUCAUUGUAAUAAAAGUAUGUGGCGCCAUAUGUAAUAAUUAACUCCUAUAUUGCCUAACAUAAUUUUUGCUCGUGGUUCCAAUAUGACCAUAUUUGAUGAUACUUGCACUGCUUUGACUCUUCAUGUACAAAUGUGUUUAUUUUAAAGAUUCUCAAAAAAUAACGGUAGGCCCUAUCAAAUAUUCAUGCUGUAAUGCAACAGCAUUUCUAGUUUUGACCGGAGUUUUUAUUAAGUUUGAAUCUCAUGACCAGUAAGGCUCACAUAAUGUAAUUGGUUAAUUAAAGCCAUACCAAUGUCUUGUAAAAUGUAAAUAAGUACACUCAGUAUACAGGUUCUAUGUCAAUAUCAAUUAAGGAAAGAUGGUCAUCCAACUGCAAUUAACAGUCUGCGGUCUAAUAGAUGGUUAAUAUUAACUCCUAUAUAGCCGAGUAUUUGCUGUUGCUGUUGUUGUUGCUGUUGUUGUGAUAGGCCUAUCUUUCAAUAUCUGUACAAAAUGUUGGUAUCCAGAGAUUGUAAAAAAUAACAUUACUAAAUAUCCCCACUUUAACACAAAAACAUUACUUGAUUUAUAUUGAAUCCCCGAAUCCCAUUGCUACUCUAGGGCUCAUAGAUGAGUAAUAAAUUAGACAAUAACCGAAGUUUGCUGUUUUGUAGAUAGUGUAAAUAGCAACCAAUCGCACAUAAUAGUUGAUUGAAUUAAGAUGGUGAUCUCAUUGUAAUUAACAGUCUACGGUGCAGCAAAUGAUCAUUAACUCUUUGAUACCAAAUGGUUUUGUUUGUUGCGAAAAUCGAAAAAAAAAAUAACAACUGCACAUUGCACUUCUUAUAGAAAUUACACUCUCUACAAACGCGUCGCAUCCAAAAGCUGUAUAGAUAUGUCAUGGACCCAAGUUUUCUUAAAUAACUGAUUUCAUGCUUGUGAACCAGAAAGUAUAGCUUCACUUUUACCAUACGUUUUUGUGUAACAUUUAAUUGUCAGGGCCAGUUGCGGUUGAAUGCAACUCUUUCUGCAACGGGCCAUUAUCUCACAAAUUGUCGGGUAUUUAUUUCAGUUCUGUUUACUGUGAUUUAUUCUCACACUCAUGUGCAUCUUCCCUGUAGUUGCAGUUGUCAAUCAAAAAUGCAGGGAAUAAUAAAAAAAAUCAUCUUUAAAACUAAAUUUCAACAUUAUAUAUGAUUUGUAAUAUAUAUUGAUUAAUAUUAACAUAAGAAUAAAUAACCAUUUCAUUUUCAAAGUCAGUUCCGUGAAGUUUAAAUGCAACAAAUCAUUGAAUAAAUUGUUUGACCCUCACCCAUAUCACAAUAUAAAUAUGUUAGAAAUAGGGAAAAUUAUAUACUUGCUGAAUUGUAGACAGU